UACGUAGGGCGCAGGCGUUGUCCGGAAUUAUUGGGCGUAAAGAGCUCGUAGGCGGCUUGUCACGUCGGGUGUGAAAGCCCGGGGCUUAACCCCGGGUCUGCAUUCGAUACGGGCUAGCUAGAGUGUGGUAGGGGAGAUCGGAAUUCCUGGUGUAGCGGUGAAAUGCGCAGAUAUCAGGAGGAACACCGGUGGCGAAGGCGGAUCUCUGGGCCAUUACUGACGCUGAGGAGCGAAAGCGUGGGGAGCGAACAGG
This 253-nucleotide ribosomal RNA is filed under the name uncultured bacterium. Its description in RNAcentral is "partial 16S ribosomal RNA". It matches the Rfam family "Bacterial small subunit ribosomal RNA", at positions 524 to 776 of the family's 1533-position model. The record is from RNAcentral.